GUGCUUCGAUUGUGACCCCAGGUCAGGCGGGACUACCCGCUGAGUUUAA
Molecule: ribosomal RNA, 49 nt
Filed under: Lilaeopsis mauritiana
Lineage: Eukaryota; Viridiplantae; Streptophyta; Magnoliopsida; Apiales; Apiaceae
Description: partial 26S ribosomal RNA
Source: RNAcentral